AUUGAACGCUGGCGGCAUGCCUAACACAUGCAAGUCGAACGGCAGCACGGCAGUAGCAAUACUGUGGGUGGCGAGUGGCGGACGGGUGAGGAAUACGUCGGAAUCUGCCCAGUCGUGGGGGAUAACUAGCCGAAAGGUUAGCUAAUACCGCAUACGACCGAGAGGUGAAAGCGGGGGACCGCAAGGCCUCGCGCGAUUGGAUGAGCCGACGUCGGAUUAGCUAGUUGGUGGGUAAAGGCCCACCAAGGCGACGAUCCGUAGCUGGUCUGAGAGGAUGAUCAGCCACACUGGAACUGAGACACGGUCCAGACUCCUACGGGAGGCAGCAGUGGGGAAUAUUGCGCAAUGGGGGAAACCCUGACGCAGCCACGCCGCGUGGGUGAUGAAGGCCCUCGGGUUGUAAAGCCCUGUCGGGGGGGACGAAGUACUGACGGUACCCUCCAAGAAAGCACCGGCUAACUCCGUGCCAGCAGCCGCGGUAAUGUCGAUA
This 490-nucleotide ribosomal RNA is filed under the name uncultured bacterium. Its description in RNAcentral is "bacterial SSU rRNA". It matches the Rfam family "Bacterial small subunit ribosomal RNA", at positions 29 to 531 of the family's 1533-position model. The record is from RNAcentral.